GAUGAACGCUAGCGGCAGGCCUAACACAUGCAAGUCGAGGGAGGAGCUUUCGGGCUUCGACCGGCGUACGGGUGCGUAACGCGUAUACAAUCUGCCUUUCACAUAGGGAUAGCCCGAAGAAAUUUGGAUUAAUACCUAAUGGUAUAUAGGAGUGGCAUCACAUUUAUAUUAAAGCUGAGGCGGUGAAAGAUGAGUAUGCGUUCUAUUAGCUAGUUGGAGAGGUAACGGCUCCCCAAGGCGACGAUAGAUAGGGGUUCUGAGAGGGAUAUCCCCCACACUGGGACAGGGAUACGAGCCAGGGUCUAACGGAAGGAGGCAGUGGGGAAUAUUGGAAAAGGGUCGGAAAAUUGAUCCAGCCAUGCCGGGUGAAGGAAGAAGGCCUUAAGGGUGGUAAACUGUUUUUUCAGGGGAAGAAAAAGGACUAAGAAUAGUUUGAAGAAGGAACUUUGCGAAUAAACACCGGCUAACUCCGG
RNAcentral lists this ribosomal RNA (473 nucleotides) under uncultured bacterium. Its description in RNAcentral is "partial 16S ribosomal RNA". It matches the Rfam family "Bacterial small subunit ribosomal RNA", at positions 28 to 506 of the family's 1533-position model. The record is from RNAcentral.